GCGCGGUUAGCUCAGUGGUAGAGCAUUACCUUGACACGGUAGGGGUCGGAGGUUCAAACCCUCCAUCGCGCACCA
Molecule: transfer RNA, 75 nt
Filed under: Verrucomicrobiota bacterium
Lineage: Bacteria; Pseudomonadati; Verrucomicrobiota
Description: Verrucomicrobia bacterium tRNA-Val
Rfam family: tRNA
About the family: Transfer RNA (tRNA) molecules are approximately 80 nucleotides in length.
Source: RNAcentral